UAGGGAAUCUCCACAAUGGACGCAAGUCUGAUGGAGCAACGCCGCGUGAGUGAAGAAGGUUUUCGGACCGUAAAGCUCUGUUGUUGGUGAAGAAGGAUAGAGGUAGUAACUGGCCUUUAUUUGACGGUAAUCAACCAGAAAGUCACGGCUAACUACGUGCCAGCAGCCGCGGUAAUACGUAGGUGGCAAGCGUUGUCCGGAUUUAUUGGGCGUAAAGCGAGCGCAGGCGGAAGAAUAAGUCUGAUGUGAAAGCCCUCGGCUUAACCGAGGAAUUGCAUCGGAAACUGUUUUUCUUGAGUGCAGAAGAGGAGAGUAGAACUCCAUGUGUAGCGGUGGAAUGCGUAGAUAUAUGGAAGAAUACCAGUGGCGAAGGCGGCUCUCUGGUCUGCAACUGACGCUGAGGCUCGAAAGCAUGGGUAGCGAACAGGAUUAGAUACCCUGGUAGUCCAUGCCGUAAACGAUGAGUGCUAAGUGUUGGGAGGCUUCCGCCUCUCAGUGCUGCAGCUAACGCAUUAAGCACUCCGCCUGGGGGAGUACGACCGCAAGGUUGAAAC
RNAcentral lists this ribosomal RNA (554 nucleotides) under uncultured bacterium. RNAcentral's name for it is "partial 16S ribosomal RNA". It matches the Rfam family "Bacterial small subunit ribosomal RNA", at positions 355 to 900 of the family's 1533-position model. The record is from RNAcentral.